AUUCCAGCUCCAAGAGCGUAUAUUAAAGUUGUUGCAGUUAAAAAGCUCGUAGUUGGAUUUCUGUCAUAAUGCGCUUGGUCCGUUUCCUUACGGCGAUGAGUACCGAUGUGCGUUUGACAUCCUUCUAGAAAACGUUUCUACCAUUUAUUUGGCCGGACUCGGGAUCUAGAUCUUUUACUUUGAAAAAAUUUGAGUGUUUAAAGCAGGCUUUUUGCUAUGAAAACAUUAGCAUGGAAUAAUAAGAUAGGACUUUGGUGGUUUAUUUUGUUGGUUUGCACGCCGAAGUAAUGAUUAAUAGGAGCAGUUGGGGAUGUCCGUAUUCGAUUGUCAGAGGUGAAAUUCUUGGAUUUAUUGAAGACGAACUACUGCGAAAGCAUUCAUCAAGGAUGUGUUCAUUA
Molecule: ribosomal RNA, 398 nt
Filed under: Dictyocha sp.
Lineage: Eukaryota; Dictyochophyceae; Dictyochales; Dictyochaceae
Description: partial small subunit ribosomal RNA
Rfam family: Eukaryotic small subunit ribosomal RNA
Source: RNAcentral